Molecule: RNA transcript, 2249 nt
Organism: Micropterus salmoides (largemouth bass)
Lineage: Eukaryota; Metazoa; Chordata; Actinopteri; Centrarchiformes; Centrarchidae
Exons: 4
Source: RefSeq, a predicted model, not a curated record
GCUUCCCGUCGGUGUUGUAACGUGUAGUUUAAGGUCACGCACCAGCUAACGCAGCUAGCUCACACUUUAAUUCAUACUCCGACUGAUUUAACGAACAGCUGGUGAAACGGCGGCGGACAGAUCCUCCCUCUGCAUCAGCCCAACGCCUGAACGCGUCAGACGACUUCUCGGCCAAUCAGAGCGAAGAAGAAGAAGAAAGAGGCCCCGAGGCUGCAGUCUGUACGACCGGAGCCCGAAAACUCAACAGAAAGGGGACAAAGUGGAGCGUCGUGGUGUGUUUAAGGUCAAUCCGUAGCUUCAGCUUUAAGCUCAUGACACAUUCAGGGUUCUACGUCGCCUUCAGUGUCUGUCGGUCAUCGUAAAUCUCAGACUGACAUGAGAGGAUCAGAGUUUGCUGACUGCAGCUUCUAGUGGACUUUAGAGGAGCCGCAGCUGAAGAUAGUCCAGUCCCGGCGUCAACAUGUCCUCCUAGCUUCCCCGCUGACCCGGUGUCUGAUUUUUAAGACGAGUCGCUGGUCUGGUGAGGUUGAGUUUGUCCGAUGGCGAGGCACAGUAAGCUGCAGAAGCAGGUCCUGGCUCUGUACCGGCAGUUCCUGCGGGCCGGCCAAGACAAGCCGGGAUUCAUCCCACGAAUCCGCGACGAGUUCAGGGAGAACGCUCGCAUCAAGAAGACGGACGUGAUGCACAUCGAGUAUCUGUACCGGCGAGGACAGAGGCAGCUGGAGCAGCUGAGGGACGCCAACACCAAACAGCUGGGCUCCUUCUCCAAACCCAGAGAGGAGAGCUGACCUCCGACCUGCACCAUGUGACCCUCAACCGAGGAGGUGGCCGCUGCCGACAGGUCGCGCUGUGACGCUGCGUUCAAGUCCAGUGGGGGAAACAGACGCUCAGUCGUGGAGAAAACGCAAUGUGAUAAACAUGGUUUGAAUGUCAGCCGAAUAUGAAAACGAAUAAACCUCCUUUGACAUCACAGGAUCAUAAACUCAGUGACAAGAUGUGGAAAAUAUUUAAUAUUGCAGUAUUUAUCAAAGUAAAAUAGAGCCGUUCAGAGCCGGCCCUGACCUCCGUGGGGCCCUAAACAAACCUCCUACAUGACUUGUGCACAUUUACACUUUACACUUGACACCGCAGCGCUCUCACUAAAAUCCGCUGUCUCUGCAACACACCUGAAUAGAGUAAGAAAAAUGAAAUCUGCUGGGUCUCUGGUUGGAGCAGCCGCUGUUCCUUUAGGGUCUGAGCUGCUUGUAUCUGAUGAUCCCAGCUAAUUAUUUUAUUUAUUAAGUAAUCUGCCGAAUUUGUUCACGAUUAAUCGACUCAUCGUUUGGUGUAAAAUUUCAAGCAAUUGUGAAAAACACAAUGUGUGAGAAGAUAAUCAGCGCGUGCUUAAUGAGAACAUUUGUAUAUUGGAAGAAAAAAAAAUAAUAAAAGAUUUUAAAGUUUCAUUGUGAGUGAAGUUAUUCGGUGUCUCGCCUCUAAUGUAACUACAUGUUUUGGCCGCUGGGUGGCAGCAGAGAGUCUCCUUGAAGACACCAACGAAGAAGAAGCAGAAGAAGAAGGGAUGUAAACAGGAAGUGGGACAUUUUACAUUCCCUAACGAGACACAAGAAUUUCGUUUUUCCCGUAUAUUUCUCUGAAAAUAGCGACUUUAGCUUCGGUUUUUGGCUGUAAAUGAACUUCUGAGGGAUUUUAUUUGGUCGUAACCUGCAGCUGUUUGUGUUUUUUUUGACGUUUAUUCGUCAGAAAUGUCGGUUUCAGGAGAAAUGAGCAACGCGCAGCUGCUUCAGCAGAUGGCGCUGCUGCGCUGGCUGAACUCGCAGUCUGAGGAGGACCGCGGGAUUUUGACGGCAGUGACGGGCGUCCAGGUCGGCCUAGAGCUGCUGAACCGGAUCACCGGCCAGGACAAAGUGGACGCCUACAAGAGAGACUGCAUCCUGAGCAUCUCACAGUUCGUCCGUGAGAACCCGCGAGCCUCGACGGCCGCGAUCAACGCCGAGGUGGAGAAGAGAGUUCUGCUUUUCGCUGCUCGAGUCAAAACUCUGGAAGCGGCUCCGAUUCUCUGAACACACCGCUGCUCAGUCUUUUAUAUCUUCACAGAUGAUUCUACGUUUUUAAAAAGACUUUCUGUCACGUGACGUGUGUGUGAUUAUUUAGUGUGUGUUGUUAAGUUUGUCGUCUGUUUUCUGUGUGUUGAUCUGAACCUCCGUGACUCUUCACAAUAAAAGCUUCUAUAAACUCUCGUUCUGCACAAA